RNAcentral lists this long non-coding RNA (246 nucleotides) under Solanum tuberosum (potato). Its description in RNAcentral is "long non-coding RNA (STUB_LNC008794)". The record is from RNAcentral. Lineage: Eukaryota; Viridiplantae; Streptophyta; Magnoliopsida; Solanales; Solanaceae.
UAGAUUGUAUGUAGGGGUAUAUGUAUUUGUGUUGAUAUGAUAAUAGUAAUGAGAAAGGAAGAAAAGAUGUGAAUGUGAUGGUGAAUUUUUGAAAGAAAAAUAAAGUAAAAUGGGACUGUAAUUUUGUUUCUCGUGUGUUAUUGCUGCUUGUUGUACAAAAAUAUAUUUUUUCUUUUGGCUUGUGUUUUGUGUGCAGAUGGGUGCUCUCUUUUUCUCUUUGUUUUUUUUGUGGGUAUGUUUCUUAGG